This 270-nucleotide long non-coding RNA is filed under the name Nicotiana benthamiana. Its description in RNAcentral is "long non-coding RNA (NBEN_LNC010173)". The record is from RNAcentral. Lineage: Eukaryota; Viridiplantae; Streptophyta; Magnoliopsida; Solanales; Solanaceae.
AUUUGCUCUAUUUAUUAUAGUGAUAAUUUAUAUGUGAAAGGCUAUCUCCAACAUGAUGUUUAUGUCUUAACUAGUGUGAAUGCUAAUUCGAUUAUGCAUGUUUCAAGUCUUAAGAGGAAAAGAGAUGAUCAUGUAAAUCAAACAUACCUUUGGCAUUGUAGGCUUGGUCGGAAAAGAGAUGAUCAUGUAAAUCAAACGUACCUUUGGCAUUGUAGGCUUGGUCAUAUUGGAGAGAAAAGAAUUAAAAAGUUGUACAAGGAAGGGUACCUU